UACGUAGGUGGCAAGCGUUGUCCGGAUUUACUGGGCGUAAAGAGCGCGCAGGCGGUCGUGCAAGUCCCGUGUGAAAGCCCCCGGCUCAACUGGGGAACUGCACGGGAAACUGACGGACUUGAGUUCGGGAGAGGGAAGCGGAAUUCCGGGUGUAGCGGUGAAAUGCGUAGAUAUCCGGAGGAACACCGGUGGCGAAGGCGGCUUCCUGGACCGACACUGACGCUGAGGCGCGAAAGCUAGGGGAGCAAACGGG
This 253-nucleotide ribosomal RNA is filed under the name uncultured bacterium. RNAcentral's name for it is "partial 16S ribosomal RNA". It matches the Rfam family "Bacterial small subunit ribosomal RNA", at positions 524 to 776 of the family's 1533-position model. The record is from RNAcentral.